RNAcentral lists this ribosomal RNA (254 nucleotides) under uncultured bacterium. RNAcentral's name for it is "partial 16S ribosomal RNA". It matches the Rfam family "Bacterial small subunit ribosomal RNA", at positions 524 to 776 of the family's 1533-position model. The record is from RNAcentral.
UACAGAGGUCUCAAGCGUUGUUCGGAUUCAUUGGGCGUAAAGGGUGUGUAGGUGGCGCGCUAAGUCGGGUGUGAAAACUCCAGGCUCAACCUGGAGACGCCACCCGAUACUGCCAUGGCUAGAGUCCGGUAGGGGACCACGGAAUUCCUGGUGUAGCGGUGAAAUGCGCAGAUAUCAGGAGGAACACCGGUGGCGAAGGCGGUGGUCUGGGCCGGAACUGACGCUGAGGAGCGAAAGCGUGGGGAGCGAACAGG